Molecule: non-coding RNA, 26 nt
Filed under: Mus musculus (house mouse)
Lineage: Eukaryota; Metazoa; Chordata; Mammalia; Rodentia; Muridae
Source: RNAcentral
UGCUACUUUCCAGAGUUUUCAGCUGU